GCGGCAGGCCUAAUACAUGCAAGUCGAACGGUGUCUUCGGACAUAGUGGCGCACGGGUGCGUAACACGUAUGCAACCUACCUUACAUUGGGGGAUAGCCUUUCGAAAGGGAGAUUAAUACCGCAUAAGACAGUAACUAGGCAUCUAGUAGCUGUUAAAGAUUUAUCGAUGUAAGCUGGGCAUGCGACCAAUUAGCUAGUUGGUGAGGUAAUGGCUCACCAAGGCUAUGAUUGGUAGGGGAACUGAGAGGUCAAUCCCCCACACUGGCACUGAGAUACGGGCCAGACUCCUACGGGAGGCAGCAGUAGGGAAUAUUGGGCAAUGGACGCAAGUCUGACCCAGCCAUGCCGCGUGCAGGAUGAAGGCGUUAUGCGUUGUAAACUGCUUUUAUACAGGAAGAAACGACUCUUGCGAGAGGCAUUGACGGUACUGUAUGAAUAAGCACCGGCUAACUCCGUGCCAGCAGCCGCGGUAAUACGGAGGGUGCAAGCGUUGUCCGGAUUUAUUGGGUUUAAAGGGUGCGCAGGUGGUUUAUUAAGUCAGUGGUGAACGACGGUCGCUCAACGAUUGCAGUGCCAUUGAAACUGGUAGACUUGAGUAAAGUAGAGGUGGGCGGAAUUGAUAGUGUAGCGGUGAAAUGCAUAGAUAUUAUCAAGAACUCCAAUUGCGUAGGCAGCUCACUUGGCUUUUACUGACACUCAUGCACGAAAGUGUGGGUAUCAAACAGGAUUAGAUACCCUGGUAGUCCACACUGUAAACGAUGAUAACUAGGUGUCGGCCGAAUCUGGUCGGUGCCACAGCGAAAGCGUUAAGUUAUCCACCUGGGGAGUACGCCG
This 835-nucleotide ribosomal RNA is filed under the name uncultured bacterium. RNAcentral describes it as "bacterial SSU rRNA". It matches the Rfam family "Bacterial small subunit ribosomal RNA", at positions 39 to 887 of the family's 1533-position model. The record is from RNAcentral.